UACAGAGGGGGCAAGCGUUGUUCGGAAUUACUGGGCGUAAAGGGCGCGUAGGUGGCCUUCUAAGUUGAACGUGAAAUCCCUGGGCUCAACCCAGGAACUGCGUCCAAGACUGGGAGGCUUGAAUCCGGGAGAGGGAUGCGGAAUUCCAGGUGUAGCGGUGAAAUGCGUAGAUAUCUGGAGGAACACCGGUGGCGAAGGCGGCAUCCUGGACCGGUAUUGACGCUGAGGCGCGAAAGCUAGGGGAGCAAACGGG
This 253-nucleotide ribosomal RNA is filed under the name uncultured bacterium. Its description in RNAcentral is "partial 16S ribosomal RNA". It matches the Rfam family "Bacterial small subunit ribosomal RNA", at positions 524 to 776 of the family's 1533-position model. The record is from RNAcentral.